GGCUGGAUCCGUGCCGCAGCUGGGAUGGACUCUGUGCCAGGCCUGGGCUUGUGGCCAGGGCUGGGGGCUGUGCCAAGCCGGCCUUUGGCCUGGGGGCUCUUGGCGAGGGCGCAGGGAGGAGUCCCGGCAGGAUAAAGGUGCUCCUCACCUGGGGCAGCCUCAGCCAGCGCUCCCCACUCACUGGCACAGGAGGAAGAGGAAGAUGAAGGUGGCUGUGCUCGCCGUGGCCCUGCUCUUCUCCAUCCUGCUGUGCCCCCCGGCUGAGGCUGGCACUCGAUGCUCCCUGGAUCUCAGACGGGGCUGGAUGUGCCACCACGACUUCGGCUCCGGGGGAGGAUUCCCUCCUCCAGGCCACCACGGGCGCAGACACCGGGGGCCGUUCCAUCACCGUGGUAAGUUCUGGAGCCGCGGGGGGCCGGGGGAACUGGGAACCAGUUUGUCCUCUCUGUCCCUUACUGGGUUUGGGACAGCGCGGUGACGCGUCCCCGUCUCUGCAGGGGGAAGCCACAGCUCGGAGGAGCGAGGUGAGUCCCGGCAGCUCUGGGAGCAGAUCCCAGUAAAUCCCAGUAAAUCCCAGUAAAUCUCAGUAAAUCCCAGUAAAUCUCAGUAAAUCCCAGUAAAUCCCAGUAAAACCCAGUAAAUCCCAGUAAAUCCCAGUAAAUCUCAGUAAAUCCCAGUAAAUCCCAGUAAAUCUCAGUAAAUCCCAGUAAAUCCCAGUAAAUCCCAGUAAAUCCCAGUAAAUCCCAGUAAAUCCCAGUAAAUCUCAGUAAAUCCCAGUAAAUCCCAGUCAAUCUCAGUAAAUCCCAGUAAAUCCCAGUAAAUCCCAGUCAAUCCCAGCAAAUCCCAGUAAAUCCCAGCAAAUCCCAGUAAAUCUCAGUAAAUCUCAGUAAAUCCCAGUAAAUCCCAGUAAAUCCCAGUAAAUCUCAGUAAAUCCCAGUAAAUCUCAGUGCUCCCCAGCUGUUCCCAGAGAGGGGCCCCGCUGUAUUCCCAGUUAUCCCAGUAACCCCCCAGUGCCUCAUUCCCAGUCCAUUUCCUGCCCUCUCUCCCCCCCUUUCCCAGUGCCCACGUGUGGGGUGUCCCCAAACCCCUUCCCCUUCCUCUUCCUCCUCUUCCUCCUCUUCCUCCUCCUCGGGACACCUCGGUGGGGCUGGGGACAUCUCUGGGGCUGGGGACACCUCUGGGGCUGGGGACACCUCAGUGGGGC
Molecule: long non-coding RNA, 1204 nt
Filed under: Cyanistes caeruleus (blue tit)
Lineage: Eukaryota; Metazoa; Chordata; Aves; Passeriformes; Paridae
Description: lncRNA (ENSCCEG00000001171.1)
Source: RNAcentral